GCGGGAUUGGCCCUUCGGGGCCAUGAGAGCGGCGCACGGGUGAGUAACGCGUACACGACCUACCUCUAACAGGGGGAUAGCCCUGGGAAACUGGGAUUAAUACCGCAUAUAAUUCUUAUUUUAAAAGGUGAGAAUGAAAGUUGAGGCGGUUAGAGAUGGGUGUGCGUCUGAUUAGCUAGUUGGUAAGGUAACGGCUUACCAAGGCGAUGAUCAGUAGGGGGCGUGAGAGCGUGGUCCCCCACACGGGUACUGAGACACGGACCCGACUCCUACGGGAGGCAGCAGUAAGGAAUAUUGGUCAAUGGGCGAAAGCCUGAACCAGCCAUCCAGCGUGCAGGAAGAAGGCCCUAUGGGUUGUAAACUGCUUUUGUCAGGGAAGAAACCUCUGGAUUUACUCCGGAGCUGACGGUACCUGAAGAAUAAGCACCGGCUAACUCCGUGCCAGCAGCCGCGGUAAUACGGAGGGUGCGAGCGUUA
RNAcentral lists this ribosomal RNA (477 nucleotides) under uncultured bacterium. RNAcentral describes it as "bacterial SSU rRNA". It matches the Rfam family "Bacterial small subunit ribosomal RNA", at positions 66 to 543 of the family's 1533-position model. The record is from RNAcentral.